AUUGAACGCUGGCGGAAUGCUUUACACAUGCAAGUCGAGCGGCAGCACGGACUUCGGUCUGGUGGCGAGUGGCGAACGGGUGAGUAAUAUAUCGGAACGUGCCCAGUCGUGGGGGAUAACGUAGUGAAAAUUACGCUAAUACCGCAUACGAUCUAUGGAUGAAAGCGGGGGAUCGCAAGACCUCGCGCGAUUGGAGCGGCCGAUAUCAGAUUAGGUAGUUGGUGAGGUAAAGGCUCACCAAGCCAACGAUCUGUAGCUGGUCUGAGAGGACGACCAGCCACACUGGAACUGAGACACGGUCCAGACUCCUACGGGAGGCAGCAGUGGGGAAUUUUGGAAAAUGGACGCAAGUCUGAUGCAGCCAUUCCGCGUGCAGGACGAAGGCCUUCGGGUUGUAAACUGCUUUUGUACAGAACGAAAAGGUUUCUAUUAAUACUAGGGGCUCAUGACGGUACUGUAAGAAUAAGCACCGGCUAACUACGUGCCAGCAGCCGCCGUAA
Molecule: ribosomal RNA, 500 nt
Filed under: uncultured bacterium
Lineage: Bacteria
Description: partial 16S ribosomal RNA
Rfam family: Bacterial small subunit ribosomal RNA
Source: RNAcentral